CAGUCGCCGCGGUAAUACGAAGGGGGCUAGCGUUGUUCGGAAUUACUGGGCGUAAAGCGCACGUAGGCGGCUUUGUAAGUCAGAGGUGAAAGCCUGGAGCUCAACUCCAGAAUUGCCUUUGAGACUGCAUCGCUUGAACGUCGGAGAGGUGAGUGGAAUUCCGAGUGUAGGGGUGAAAUUCGUAGAUAUUCGGAAGAACACCAGUGGCGAAGGCGGCUCACUGGACGACUGUUGACGCUGAGGUGCGAAAGCGUGGGGAGCAAACAGGAUUAGAUACCCGCGUAGUCCCUGUCUCUUAUAC
Molecule: ribosomal RNA, 301 nt
Filed under: uncultured bacterium
Lineage: Bacteria
Description: partial 16S ribosomal RNA
Rfam family: Bacterial small subunit ribosomal RNA
Source: RNAcentral